GAUGAACGCUAGCGGCAGGCUUAACACAUGCAAGUCGAGGGGUAUAGGUUUUCGGACCUAGAGACCGGCGCACGGGUGCGUAACGCGUAUGCAAUCUACCUUUCACAGAGGGAUAGCCCAGAGAAAUUUGGAUUAAUACCUCAUAGUAUUAUGAAGUGGCAUCAUUUUAUAAUUAAAGUUCCAACGGUGAAAGAUGAGCAUGCGUCCCAUUAGCUAGAUGGUAAGGUAACGGCUUACCAUGGCGACGAUGGGUAGGGGUCCUGAGAGGGAGGUCCCCCACAGUGGUACUGAGACACGGACCAGACUCCUACGGGAGGCAGCAGUGAGGAAUAUUGGUCAAUGGACGCAAGUCUGAACCAGCCAUGCCGCGUGCAGGAUGACGGUCCUAUGGAUUGUAAACUGCUUUUGUACGAGAAGAAACACUCCUUCGUGAAGGAGCUUGACGGUAUCGUAAGAAUAAGGAUCGGCUAACUCCGUGCCAGCCGCCGCCGUAA
This 494-nucleotide ribosomal RNA is filed under the name uncultured bacterium. Its description in RNAcentral is "partial 16S ribosomal RNA". It matches the Rfam family "Bacterial small subunit ribosomal RNA", at positions 28 to 523 of the family's 1533-position model. The record is from RNAcentral.